AUGAAGGUGAAUGAUCGGGUAACCGUUAAAACGGACGGCGGUCCCCGCCGACCGGGCGUGGUACUGGCAGUGGAAGAAUUUAGUGAAGGCACAAUGUACCUGGUUUCGCUGGAGGAUUACCCGCUCGGCAUCUGGUUCUUCAAUGAGUCAGGUCACCAGGAUGGUAUUUUUGUCGAGAAGGCGGAGCAGGACUAA
RNAcentral lists this small RNA (195 nucleotides) under Salmonella enterica subsp. enterica serovar Typhimurium str. LT2. RNAcentral's name for it is "regulatory RNA". The record is from RNAcentral. Lineage: Bacteria; Pseudomonadati; Pseudomonadota; Gammaproteobacteria; Enterobacterales; Enterobacteriaceae.